This is a non-coding RNA of Rattus rattus (black rat), 363 nucleotides long. The record is from the annotation of a RefSeq genome assembly. Lineage: Eukaryota; Metazoa; Chordata; Mammalia; Rodentia; Muridae.
AUGGAAUGGAGCUGGAUCUUUCUUUUCCUCUUGUCAGUAACUGCAGUUGUCCACUCCCAGGUCCAGUUGCAGCAGUCUGGAGCUGAGCUGGCGAAACCUGGGACUUCAGUGAAGCUGUCCUGCAAGACUUCUGGCUACACCUUCACCAGCUAUAAUAUUCACUGGGUAAAGCAGAGGCCUGGACAGGGCCUUGAGUGGAUCGGAUAUAUUUAUCCUGGAAGUGGUUAUACUUACUACAGUGAGAAGUUCAAGGGCAAGGCCACAUUUACUGCAGACACAUCCUCCAGCACAGCCUACAUGCUACUAGGCAGCCUGACAUCUGAGGACUCUGCGGACUAUUUCUGUGCAAGACACACAGUAUAG